Molecule: long non-coding RNA, 1220 nt
Organism: Xenopus tropicalis (tropical clawed frog)
Lineage: Eukaryota; Metazoa; Chordata; Amphibia; Anura; Pipidae
Exons: 11
Source: RefSeq, a predicted model, not a curated record
CAGUUAGUUAGAGGCUGCACAGCAAAUGUUAAAAACCAAAAGUUGUUUGGUGGUUCACUGUGCAUGCUGGGAGUGCUGAGUGUAAGGCCGGAGUGAGUGGAAUGAACAGAUUGCUUGUGGAGUUGUGUUACCUGGCUGAUAGGAAGACACUGCCUGAUUUCUGUGUGCUAAGGUUAAACUGGGGAGUGGGAUUAAUUGAAAUCACAGGCGAUGGGCUGCAAAUAAUUGCUGGAUUACUUACUGGUUCAUUUGAGGAUCUCAUUAGUCUGCUGUGACUGUGCUCUCUGCCACCACCAAGUGGCCAGCAUCUCUCCUAUAAAAACCUGCUCAUUAAGCCGUGCUCUCCUUAAUGAAAUGGCUACUCUAAAGGUUACAGGUUUCCUUUUGGCAAAAGCCCAGAGAUAACUGGAAAUAAAGAAGAUGGAACAAAUGAUGAGUAAAAGAUGGUGAUUGGCUCUGUUCACUGAAACAGUGCUCUCUGCCACCACCAAGUGGCCAGCAUCUCAUCAAGCCGUGCUCUCCUUUAUGAAAUGGCUGCUCUAAAGGUUACAGGUUUCCUUUUGGCAAAAGCCCAGAGAUAACUGGAAAUAAAGACAGAAGAUGGAACAAAUGAUGAGUAAAAGACUGGUGAUUGACUAAAACAGGAAAGAGAGACCGAUAACUGGAAAUAAAGACAGAAGAUGGAACAAAUGAUGAGCAAAAGACGGUGAUUGGCUCUGUUCACUGAAACAGGAAAGAGAGACCGAUAACUGGAAAUAAAGACAGAAGAUGGAACAAAUGAUGAGCAAAAGACGGUGAUUGGCUCUGUUCACUGAAACAGCAGGCUUCCUUUUGGCAAAAGCCCAGAGAUAACUGGAAAUAAAGAAGAUGGAACAAAUGAUGAGUAAAAGAUGGUUUCCUUUUGGCAAAAGCCCAGAGUUAACUGGAAAUAAAGACAGAAGAUGGAACAAAUGAUGAGUAAAAGACGGUGAUUGGCUCUGUUCACUGAAACAGAAGCAUCACCCAGUGAACUAUGAACUAAAGAAGCCUAAAAAGAACAAGAAAAUGUCAAAAGAUGAGAAGACAGAUUCUGCUAGGCUACCUCCCAUCACAAUAAAGGCUUUUCUGUCAGUUGUCUAAUUUGUGUUUUUAAAAACUGUAUGUUUUAAAUAUUGUAUGCUUUGUAAAUGUUAUGUAUGUUUUGUAAAUUGUAUGUAUUAAACCUUUUUACACAAUUCUUA